GCUGUGUUCUUUGGCCUGACCAGAAGUUUCAGCUGAAGACCUACCUAAACUGCUCUGAAUUGGUUUGACACAAGUCUUUCUAGUUCCUUCUCAAAGGCAGGAAAUGAUGACAUUUGAUUCUUCAACUUCUCUGGGACUCAGUUUCCUAGUUUUUAAAGUGAGAGAAGAAACAACAUUUCUAAGAGAGCAUAGUCCAUUAGUCACUGAAGAGCACAUCACAGUAUCUAUUGCUUCCUGUGAGAUUCCUGUUAAUUGGACUUCUGUGGAGGUUUCAGUUUGAUCUCUCCUGGGCUCUCUGCAGAAACUGUGGAAGUCACAUCUUGGCAGAUAAAUGUACGGAUUCAGGUCACUUGGACAUACUCCUGAAACCUGACAUUCUGGAAAAGAAUAUAAAUGGUGGAACAAUGGAGGAUGUAGAGAUAAAGGUGAGAAAAGUCGAAGGC
Balaenoptera musculus (blue whale) is the source of this 443-nucleotide long non-coding RNA. RefSeq lists it as uncharacterized. The record is from RefSeq and is a predicted model, not a curated record. NCBI's taxonomy places the organism in Eukaryota, Metazoa, Chordata, Mammalia, Artiodactyla, Balaenopteridae. The transcript has 6 exons.